AUACGGAGGGGGUUAGCGUUGUUCGGAAUUACUGGGCGUAAAGCGUACGUAGGCGGACUGGAAAGUUGGGGUUGAAAUCCCGGGGCUCAACCCCGGAACUGCCUCCAAAACUUCCAAUCUAGAGAUCGGGAGAGGUGAGUGGAAUUCCAAGUGUAGAGGUGAAAUUCGUAGAUAUUUGGAGGAACACCAGUGGCGAAGGCGGCUCACUGGCUCGAUACUGACGCUGAGGUACGAAAGCGUGGGGAGCAAACAGGAUUAGAAACCCCUGUAGUCC
Molecule: ribosomal RNA, 274 nt
Filed under: uncultured bacterium
Lineage: Bacteria
Description: partial 16S ribosomal RNA
Rfam family: Bacterial small subunit ribosomal RNA
Source: RNAcentral